AGAGAGCAGUACAGCAUCAUCUAUCCCUACCGCUCAGGAACGAUAUCAUAAUGCAAGUGAGAGUCACAAUCACGUGUCGGCAGAUAGCAAUCUGGGGAGACAUGUCUAACAUGGCGGAAAGGGGUGCAACUGUUGCAGAUCUUGUUUUCAGCCAAGAGGAUCAGAUGCAGUGGUAUCUAUCGAAAAAAAUAAAAUGAU
This is a long non-coding RNA of Orcinus orca (killer whale), 198 nucleotides long. RefSeq lists it as uncharacterized. NCBI's taxonomy places the organism in Eukaryota, Metazoa, Chordata, Mammalia, Artiodactyla, Delphinidae. The transcript has 3 exons. The record is from RefSeq and is a predicted model, not a curated record.